CCCCAGCCCGCUCUGGAUACUGGCUGACUAGAGUUACAUAGAGGUAAGUGGAAUUCUUAGUGGAGCGGUGGAAUGCGUAGAUAUUAGGAAGAACACCAAUGGCGAAGGCAGCUUACUGGAUGUACACUGACGCUCAGGGACGAAAGCGUGGGGAGCAAACAGGAUUAGAUACCCUGGUAGUCCACGCCGUAAACGACGAUCAUUAGCCGCUAGAAUAUUUAGUGGCGCAGCUAACGCAUUAAAUGAUCCGCCUGAGUAGUAUGCUCGCAAGAGUGAAACUUAAAGGAAUUGACGGGGACCCGCACAAGCGGUGGAGCAUGUGGUUUAAUUUGAAGAUACGCGUAGAACCUUACUCACUCUUGACAUCUUCCGCAAUACUAUGGAGACAUAGUGGAGGUUAACGGAAUGACAGAUGGUGCAUGGUUGUCGUCAGCUCGUGCCGUGAGGUGUUAGGUUAAGUCCUGCAACGAGCGCAACCCCUGUCUUUAGUUACUAACGGAUAAUGCCGAGGACUCUAGAGAGACUGACUGGGUAACCAGUAGGAAGGUAGGGACGACGUCAAAUCAUCAUGCCUCUUACGAGUGGGGCAACACACGUGCUACAAUGGACGGUACAAAGAGAAGCAAUAUGGUGACAUGGAGCAAACCUCAAAAAACCGUUCUCAGUUCGGAUUGAAGUCUGAAACUCGACUUCAUGAAGUUGGAAUCGCUAGUAAUCGUAGAUCAGCUACGCUACGGUGAAUACGUUCUCGGGUCUUGUACACACCGCCCGUC
RNAcentral lists this ribosomal RNA (773 nucleotides) under uncultured Mycoplasma sp. Its description in RNAcentral is "bacterial SSU rRNA". It matches the Rfam family "Bacterial small subunit ribosomal RNA", at positions 614 to 1398 of the family's 1533-position model. Lineage: Bacteria; Bacillati; Mycoplasmatota; Mollicutes; Mycoplasmatales; Mycoplasmataceae. The record is from RNAcentral.